GAAAUAGGACAAUGGAAUUUUACAAGGAGGGGUGAAAUCCGUAGAACUGUAAAGGAAUGUCAAAAGCGAAGGCAGUUGUCUGGGUCGUUACUGACGCUAAGGAACGAAAGCGUGGGUAUCCAACAGGAUUAGAUACCCUGGUAGUCCACGCCGUAAAUUAUGAGUGCUCAUGCUUAGAUUUUUUAGGCAUUUAGUUAACACGUUAAGCACUCCGCCUGAAGAGUAUAAUCGCAAGAUUGAAACUCAAAGGAAUUGACGGGGGCCAACACAAGUGGUGGAGCAUGUUGUUUAAUGCGAAAAUACGCGCGAAACCUUACCAGUUCUUGACAGUGUGUUAAGUGACGAAAAAAUAGCUUUUUUUGUCCUCUUUAUAGUAAGAAUUUUCACACACAGGUGUUGCAUGGCUGUCGUCAGCUCGUGUUGUGAAAUGUUAGAUUAAUUUCUUAAACGAGCGCAACCCCUACUUUUAGUUGCCAGUGUUUGUUGUUCCAAACAGGAACUCUAAAAGAACUGCUAGUGGAUAAGCUAGAGGAAGGUGGGGAUAACGUCAAGUCCUCAUGGCCCUUAUGAACUGGGCUACAAACGUGCUACAAUGAAAACUACAAAAAGAAGCAAUAGUGUUUAAGCUGGAGCAAAUCUCUAAAAGUUUUCUUAGUUCGGAUUGUGGGCUGAAACUCGCCCACAUGAAGUUGGAAUCACUAGUAAUCGUAGAUCAGCACGCUACGGUGAAUAUGUACCUUGGCCUUGUACACACCGCCCGUCACAUGUUGGGAGUAGUCCCGUUUUAAAGAUUAGAUAAUUGUUUAGCGAUUUAGGGUUCGUUAAGCGUUUCUUUUUUAGGCAGGGGAUUAUAACUGAGAUGAAGUCGUAACAAGGUAGCCGUACGGGAACGUGCGGCUG
RNAcentral lists this ribosomal RNA (900 nucleotides) under marine metagenome. RNAcentral's name for it is "bacterial SSU rRNA". It matches the Rfam family "Bacterial small subunit ribosomal RNA", at positions 650 to 1520 of the family's 1533-position model. The record is from RNAcentral.